AUGUAAAAUUUUAAAGGUCGAACAGACCUAAAUUAUAAAAACCUACUUUUAUAUUUAAUCUUAAUUCAACAUCGAGGUCGCAAACAAUUUUUUUGAUAAGAACUCUAAAAAAUUAUUACGCUGUUAUCCCUAAGGUAACUUAAUUUUUAUUAUAAAAUUUAUAUAACUUAAUAAAAAAUAAAUACAUUAAUUAAUGUUUAAACAAAAGAAAAUUUAAUCAAAUUUCCCAACAGCCCCAGUUAAAUAAAAUAAAUUAAUACAAAAAUUAUAAAAAUAAAAAUCAUGUAAAACUAUUUUAUAAAGAUCUAUAGGGUCUUAUCGUCCCUUAAAUUCAUUUAAACAUUUUUAUUUAAAAUUUAAAUUUUAUUAAUAAAAUUAUAGACAGUUUAUAUUUUAUCUAAUCUUUCAUUCCAGCCUCCAAUUAAGAAACUAAUUAUUAUGCUACCUUCGCACAGUCAAUAUACUGCGGCCAUUUAAAUAUUUAAAUUCAUUGGGCAGAUUGGACUUUUAAUUUUAAACUAAAAGAC
Molecule: ribosomal RNA, 527 nt
Filed under: Gasteruption sp. M113
Lineage: Eukaryota; Metazoa; Arthropoda; Insecta; Hymenoptera; Gasteruptiidae
Description: partial 16S ribosomal RNA
Source: RNAcentral